UUAACGGACACAGAGAAUAAGAAACCUGUGGAUAAAUUACAAAAUCUUCCGCUAGGAGAGCCGUAGAAAAUUUUCUCAGCCCGAAUCGUGCAGACGAAAUUUGAAAAGACAGUACUGCUCGAGUUGGAGAAGCAUAUAACGUUUCUACCGCAGAGAGUUACAAAGACCUACGAGGGAUUCAUAAAUCAUUUCGAACAAGAAAAGUACGCCAUCGUGUUCAGAGGGCUGAUCAAUACGGGGAAGAGCCAAUCCUGCAACAUCUUUCGAAAUUGUAGAAAAUUGAGAUAGUUAUAUACCCUCCGCCCCUCAGUACAACAGAAACAUUUUUCGUCAAGCUUUCCUUUGAGAAUUAUCUCCGUUCAUCGCUUCACCACAUUUGACCAAGGUUCGAGUUUCCUACAGUCCUUCUACAGAGUAGUACUUCAAGCUUCCUUCUGCAGCGUUCAGCAAGCAUUCAUUUGUGUAUUCGUCG
Molecule: long non-coding RNA, 472 nt
Organism: Leptinotarsa decemlineata (Colorado potato beetle)
Lineage: Eukaryota; Metazoa; Arthropoda; Insecta; Coleoptera; Chrysomelidae
Source: RefSeq, a predicted model, not a curated record